AGCGAACGCUGGCGGCAGGCUUAACACAUGCAAGUCGAGCGGGCGUAGCAAUACGUCAGCGGCAGACGGGUGAGUAACGCGUGGGAACAUACCUUUUGGUUCGGAACAACACAGGGAAACUUGUGCUAAUACCGGAUAAGCCCUUACGGGGAAAGAUUUAUCGCCGAAAGAUUGGCCCGCGUCUGAUUAGCUAGUUGGUGAGGUAACGGCUCACCAAGGCGACGAUCAGUAGCUGGCUGAGAGGAUGAUCAGCCACAUUGGGACUGAGACACGGCCCAAACUCCUACGGGAGGCAGCAGUGGGGAAUAUUGGACAAUGGGCGAAAGCCUGAUCCAGCCAUGCCGCGUGAGUGAUGAAGGCCCUAGGGUUGUAAAGCUCUUUUGUGCGGGAAGG
Molecule: ribosomal RNA, 393 nt
Filed under: uncultured bacterium
Lineage: Bacteria
Description: bacterial SSU rRNA
Rfam family: Bacterial small subunit ribosomal RNA
Source: RNAcentral